UUUCCCAAGAGAUCCCAUGAAACUCAUCGGCAAAACUUUUGAUAAUGUACUUCUUUGAAGAGACUCAAAGCCAUCCAUCAUGACUAGUGAGAUCACUUGUUAGGUAAAGAAGCUUGCUGUCAACCCUAAAAACCUGAGUUUGAUUCCCCACGCCCACACACUGGAGAGAGAGAACAAACUCCUGCCAAGCUGGACUCUGAUCUUCACAUGUAUGUCUUGGCAUGUGUCCAAACACAGGAAUGGAUAGCAUCUCUAAGAGUUAUAUGCAUGGAAUGGGGAGCAGAUCCAGAUGUAGAACUCUCAGUUGUUUUUCCAGCACCAAAUCUGCCUGUGUUCCACAACGUUUCUUAUCAUGGCCUUAAUGAUAAUGGACUAAACCUCUGAAACUGGAUCCCCAGAACCAGCUGACGUUGGUACUAAAAGACAGCUGUGUUGGAACCAUUGGCCGAGAACUGGAGUCCUUCCUUCCGGAGAAGACAUAAGCACCAAGUACACAAGCGUUCUGGGGGAAGUAUGUACAGAGACCUGGAAAGUGGAGACCCAAGGGAUGUUUGGCUAAGCCAGGGGAACUACGCUGUGACUCAAGUUGGCCUAAGACAGUGAAGGACCAAGGGAUCCAGGAAUUCUCCAGAGAAAACAAGUGGAUUUGUGGAAGUAGAUUAUAGACAAUGAGCUGGAGUGAGGUCAGCCAUCAGAAAACUGCUGGGGGAAGGGGAAUGGAGUUCACAGCGUUUACAAGAAGGGACAUGUGGCUCAAAGGUAGGACAACCAGAAAGAUGCUUGGACAGGACUGUAGGACAUUUCUCUACAGAACAGGCUGUGGUUAAAAAAAAAGUAAUGAAUUCUUAUUUUUAACCCUAAUUAUCCAGAAAGCAUGGUUUUGAUGAUUUAGUGUAAAACAAAGGCAUUUUAUGCAAUUGUUUCAUAAAAAUCGAAACUUAGCUUUCCUUUCUGUCCAGGGUAUAUGAACACCUUGAGGGUAUGUAAAAGCUUUCAGAGCAUGUGUAUAAAUGCUGCCCCAAGGUCGAUGAAGCAACAUCUAACUAUCACAGAGGUCUGGUCUGACUCUAAAUCUUUUUUCCUAGGGAAAGAAAAGGCAUGUCGUGAUGUAUAUUUCUGGAGAGGAAGCAUUCCCAGGAAAGCCUAUAUUAUUGUAAAUGCCAAGCAAUCCCAGUUCAGUGUAUUCUCCUUACGAUUUAUUUGCCUCAAGUUGAUAAUAAUAAUAAUGUUCUUACUUUCACAGUGUCUCAAAUCCAAGUGUGUCUGAGUAGUUUGUAAAUAUAAAUCAAUUCUUAAGACACUCUGGUGAGACAGGUAAAAACCGUUACUAAUAUUUUAUGAAGAAAGUAGUAGACAAGAGAUUCACCAACUUCACAGUUUCUCAU
Molecule: non-coding RNA, 1385 nt
Organism: Myodes glareolus (Bank vole)
Lineage: Eukaryota; Metazoa; Chordata; Mammalia; Rodentia; Cricetidae
Source: RefSeq, a predicted model, not a curated record